UACGGAGGGGGCAAGCGUUGUUCGGAUUUACUGGGCGUAAAGGGCGCGUAGGCGGCAUGACAAGUCACUUGUGAAAUCUCUGGGCUUAACCCAGAACGGCCAAGUGAAACUGUCGCGCUAGAGUGCGGAAGGGGCAAUCGGAAUUCUUGGUGUAGCGGUGAAAUGCGUAGAUAUCAAGAGGAACACCUGAGGUGAAGACGGGUUGCUGGGCCGACACUGACGCUGAUGCGCGAAAGCCAGGGGAGCAAACGGG
This 253-nucleotide ribosomal RNA is filed under the name uncultured bacterium. RNAcentral describes it as "partial 16S ribosomal RNA". It matches the Rfam family "Bacterial small subunit ribosomal RNA", at positions 524 to 776 of the family's 1533-position model. The record is from RNAcentral.